UUUUUAGACCUUCCUGGAGGAGCUUGCUAUCUAACCGAUAAUCCACGAUAUACCUCACCAACCUUGGCAACCUUCAGCUUGUAUACCAUCGUCGUCAGCCUACUUCACAAGAAAGUAUACAAAAAGAAACCAUCUUUUCCUUACGUCAGAUCGAGGUGCAGUUAAUAGGUUGGGGAAUAGUGAGCUACAAUAACCCCACAAAAAAAACACAACUAUGGACGGCCCAUUGAAAUAAAGCCUAAAACAGGAUUCAGCAGUAAUACUUACAAGAAAAUAAGUAUGAAGCCUAGCUCUAAAAAGCGC
RNAcentral lists this ribosomal RNA (303 nucleotides) under Luidia foliolata. Its description in RNAcentral is "partial 12S ribosomal RNA". Lineage: Eukaryota; Metazoa; Echinodermata; Asteroidea; Paxillosida; Luidiidae. The record is from RNAcentral.